CCUACGGGUGGCAGCAGUCGAGAAUCAUUCACAAUGGGGGAAACCCUGAUGGUGCGACGCCGCGUGGGGGAAUGAAGGUCUUCGGAUUGUAAACCCCUGUCAUGUGGGAGCAAAUUAAAAAGAUAGUACCCCAAGAGGAAGAGACGGCUAACUCUGUGCCAGCAGCCGCGGUAAUACAGAGGUCGCAAGCGUUAUUCGGAAUCACUGGGCGUAAAGCGUUCGUAGACUGUUUCGUAAGUCGGGUGUGAAAGGUGCGGGCUCAACCCGCGGACGGCACAUGAUACUGCGAGACUAGAGUAAUGGAGGGGGAAGCGGAAUUCGCGGUGUAGCAGUGAAAUGCGUAGAUAUCGAGAGGAACACUCGUGGCGAAGGCGGGUUCCUGGACAGUAACUGACGCUGAGGCACGAAGGCGAGGGGAGCGAAAGGGAUUAGAUACCCUGGUAGUC
RNAcentral lists this ribosomal RNA (446 nucleotides) under uncultured bacterium. RNAcentral describes it as "partial 16S ribosomal RNA". It matches the Rfam family "Bacterial small subunit ribosomal RNA", at positions 338 to 795 of the family's 1533-position model. The record is from RNAcentral.